This 492-nucleotide ribosomal RNA is filed under the name uncultured bacterium. Its description in RNAcentral is "partial 16S ribosomal RNA". It matches the Rfam family "Bacterial small subunit ribosomal RNA", at positions 29 to 507 of the family's 1533-position model. The record is from RNAcentral.
AGUGAACGCUGGCGGUAUGCCUAACACAUGCAAGUCGAACGGCAGCACAGUAAGAGCUUGCUCUUACGGGUGGCGAGUGGCGGACGGGUGAGGAAUACAUCGGAAUCUACUUUUUCGUGGGGGAUAACGUAGGGAAACUUACGCUACUACCGCAUACGACCUACGGGUGAAAGCAGGGGAUCUUCGGACCUUGCGCGAUUGAAUGAGCCGAUGUCGGAUUAGCUAGUUGGCGGGGUAAAGGCCCACCAAGGCGACGAUCCGUAGCUGGUCUGAGAGGAUGAUCAGCCACACUGGAACUGAGACACGGUCCAGACUCCUACGGGAGGCAGCAGUGGGGAAUAUUGGACAAUGGGCGCAAGCCUGAUCCAGCCAUACCGCGUGGGUGAAGAAGGCCUUCGGGUUGUAAAGCCCUUUUGUUGGGAAAGAAAAGCAGCAGGUUAAUACCCCGCUGUUCUGACGGUACCCAAAGAAUAAGCACCGGCUAACUUCGUG